AUAAGGUUAAGUUAAUAAGGGCGCACGGUGGAUGCCUUGGCACUAGAAGCCGAUGAAGGACGUGACUAACGACGAAAUGCUUUGGGGAGUUGUAAGUAAACAUUGAUCCAGAGAUGUCCGAAUGGGGGAACCCGGCAUGUGAUGCAUGUCACUCAUUACUGUUAAGGUAAUGAAGAGGAAGACGCAGUGAACUGAAACAUCUAAGUAGCUGCAGGAAGAGAAAGCAAAUGCGAUUGCCUUAGUAGCGGCGAGCGAAGCGGCAAGAGGGCAAACCGAUGUGUUUACACAUCGGGGUUGUAGGACUGCGCUGUGGGAAGUCAAGAUUAUAGAAGAAUUACCUGGGAAGGUAAGCCAAAGAGAGUAACAGCCUCGUAUUCGAAAUAGUCUUAAACCCUAGCAGUAUCCUGAGUACGGCGAGACACGAGAAAUCUCGUU
Molecule: ribosomal RNA, 435 nt
Filed under: Streptococcus thermophilus TH985
Lineage: Bacteria; Bacillati; Bacillota; Bacilli; Lactobacillales; Streptococcaceae
Description: bacterial LSU rRNA
Rfam family: Bacterial large subunit ribosomal RNA
Source: RNAcentral